AAUCAUAUCACUGACACGCUUCAACUGUCCAAUAAAAACAUCCGAAAGCAUGGGCAUCUUCUGUUCAGCGUAGGUGGGCUUUAAAGAGCUCACGACAGCAAAACUAACUUCCUUUCCAUACUAAUACUAAUAAUAAUACCAAAUAAUAUAAUCUAAUUAUGUUUUAUUAUUAUUAUACAAGUAAAUUGUUUUUUUAUAACGGAGCAAGUAUCUUAAAGAAACGAGUGGAAGUCUGUCAAAUUCUUGGAUUUUCAUCCCAAAGAUCUCAGAGAAUGAACCUGGAGAUAGGUGGCGCUGUGAAAAACAAAGCAGGUAAGAACAAAAAAGUAAGAUCACAAAGAAGAAAGCUGUAGAUAAAAUGAUGCCCAUGUUCUGCAUCAUCACACUGUUGUUUAUCUGCUUUGUGUUUCAGUGUCAUGGGAAGAUUCAAAGCUGUUGGUGAAUGACCUCAAUGCUGACAGCCAAAGAUAAAGUAUUUGAUCUUUAUAAAUACCAUAUUUCCCAAAGUGUUAUACUGCAUGUCUUUACACACACAUGAACUUUGAGGACAUUGUAAUUUUUCAUACAAAAUCUUUAAUAUUAUGUUGUCCCACCCUCUGCAGCUACAUUGGCUUCAGUUCCUCUGGGAAGACUGUCUACAAGGUUUAGGAGUGUUUAUGGGUAUAUUAUGACCAUUCUUCCAGGAGAGCAUUAGUGGGGUCAGACACUGAUGUUGGAUGAGAGGGCCUGUCACUCAGUCUUUGCUCUGACUCAUCCCAAAGGUGUUCCUUUCCAACUCGGGCUCUUAGGACACCUGAAUUCAGUGUUAUGGAGGGAUGACCCAAUACUUUUGGCAAUACGGUGUAUCCUGCAAAUAUGUACCACUGCCACAGAAUUUAG
Long non-coding RNA from Girardinichthys multiradiatus, 879 nucleotides. RefSeq lists it as uncharacterized. NCBI's taxonomy places the organism in Eukaryota, Metazoa, Chordata, Actinopteri, Cyprinodontiformes, Goodeidae. The record is from RefSeq and is a predicted model, not a curated record. The transcript is spliced from 3 exons.